GUGGCUGUCGCGAAAGGUCGCGAAAUCAUUGAAAGGCUGGCAACACCAAUGUGAGUAUUUGCUGAUGUAUACAUAGAUAUACUGAGUAUGUUCCUAUAUUUACGCAGAUAUUGUGAGUAUCUUUCACCAAAUAUAAGUAUAUUAUAUUAUGAAUAUUGUCCAUAGAUAGAAUACUAUAUCGUCUAUGUGUAUUAAGUGAGUUUUGCACACUUUUCUGUUGAGAGUACCGCGUACAGAAUAUAUCUUGCAUGAGUGAGUGAGUGGUUUACUGUAGUACCAACAUUCCCUGACUAUAAAGUUACAAUAUGGCCGAAAGUACAAAUGCGCGCCAUUUAAGUAGAACUUUUGAAGUUGUGUUUAACUAAAGAUCUAAACAUAUAAAAGUGAGUAGGUUUUGUGUUACCUUUCUAUUCGUACAUGUGAGUUAACUUUGUUUCAUUUUCUACACACACAUGUGAGUUGGUUUUCAUUUCACUUUGAUUUACACACCGCCGAAUACAGCACGUAUAUCUUAUAACAUUAUAAUUUGUUUGUCUUACGGUGAAUGAUCAUUUACUUACCUUAAUUUGUCUGUAUACAGAAUUUACCAUGUAAUCUAGACAUCUGCCCGCGGUGAGCGUGUUUAUGCUUCCAAAUGGGGAAAUUACUUAUAACCAAUUUGAAGGGUGUUUAUACUUACAUUUACACUUUGAAACGCCGCGGCGUUCCAGACUGAUAGCAAAGGCUUCCAUAGUUUAACUUAGUGGAAAUCCUAACAGCAUGCCCAAUAGGGCUUAUGGCUUGUAACCUACCUAAAUGAAUAUCUCGCCGUAUGUUCUCGUCUGGAGAGAUUCCGUGUGGUUGGGAGCUUAAAGCCGCACCCUCUGAGGUCUGAUGCUCUUAGCGGACUUAUAUGGAGGUGAAUGCAUGACCACAAAGCGGUGAUCCUUGAGCCAUCCGGUUGGAGGCGACUGGCAAUCGCCCGGUACUUCCCUCGUAGAGUGGGGAGGAUCCGAUUUAAUUAUGCUUUAACAUUAGUAACCUCACUUUGAGAUGAUGCCGAAAAGGCUCUAUAACAAUAUUAAUAUCUCGCCGUUUGUGCUCGUCUGGAGAGAUUCCGUGUGGUUGGGAGCUUAUAGCCGCACCCUCUGAUGUCUAGUGUUCUGAGCGAUCUCGUAUGGAGGUGAAUGCAUGACCACAAAGCGGUGAUCCUUGAGUCAUCCGGUUGGAGGCGACUAGCAAUCGCCCGGUACUUCCCUCGUAGAGUGGGGGAGGAUCCGAUUUAAUUGUGCUUUAACAUUAGUAAUAUAACUUAGAGAUGAUGCCGAAAAGGCUCUAUAACAAUUACGAAUUUGUUUGUGCACUUGCUUAUUGUACCAAAUCAAAAUCUGGAACGUCGCGUUACUCUUUUACUAUUUUUAGCACCCUUAGGACUAAUAUAAAGCUUUGGCUCUAACUUAUAUUCACGAGAUUGAACUUGUACUAAAUUAUUGUUCUAAUCUUGACCAAGAUAACCAUCCAGUAUCAGUUCUAUAAGUCUUGGUAGCCUACUCACUGGCAUUGCGACAGCAAUGUCAUAGAUUCAUUUAUAAUUAACAGGAGCAGUCUCUCUGACGUGAUACGAUAAGGAAUUUGCCGCCAUCUAGGAAUGUUGUCUUGGAAGACCACAGUCCGUAUAACACAGAACAUUACAAGGUGCGACAUCAUCGCACGUGAUAUUUUACCUUUUCGCCACUAAACCCCCAAACGGGCGAAUACAUGGUGGAGGUGCUGGGAUACGAUCCCAUAAUAAAAAAUAAAAUUAUUGUCGGAAGGAUAAUGAAUGGCAUCGUUGACAUAUACCUAAACAAAAACAAAUCAUUGCUAAAAGAAAAAAAAAAUUGUUUUGGUAUUUGUUUAUUAUCAUCCAGGAAAACCCUCGCUCACUCGAAACCUAUAAAACUCUUAUACAAUGUGGUAUUACUUGAAAGAACUGUAAUUACUUCUACGUUGUCUACAAAAGGAAAGUAAGAAUUUACUUUAAAACAUCGAGACUUCCUAGCGUCAUGUAUGUGUUGUGUGUCAAAUUCACCAUUAAUAAUAAUACGCGUCUACAUAUGGCGCGCAUGAUGAAUAACAAUGGAAAUUAUAAAAGUUCAGAUAAAUAAUAUUCAAUGUUACAUUAUGUAUGUUAAAUUUCAUGAAGUUAGGAAUUUUAGGUAGGUAAAAUUAUAAUUGAAUUUGUCAAUUUAGUUAAGGUACAAAGUAUUUUUUCGCUUAAGCGUCGCGUUUUAGAUUCAAUAUGUAAAUACUUUACUUCGAAAGAUUAUUAGAGAAUAAUACUAGUAUAAUUUAUCCGUUUGAAUUUUAGGUUACAGGUAGGGUGAUAACCAUGAACCACAUAACUUUUACCAAAAUUGUAAUGGUUCAGAAAACAUUCUAUUGACCGGAAAUGCUCGAUCAAAAUGCGCACUAGGGAUGUGCUUGUGGGCGUUUUGCAUUUAUGACCGAAUUUAGACUAUGUUAUAAUUGAAAAGUUUUGACGAUCGCAUUAAAUUUUGAAAUAUGUAGAUCGGACAGACAAAAUAGUAUUUGUUUAAAAAAAAAAAAACAAAUCUGUAAAUUAUGAAUGCAACAAUGUCGUAAUACUUGAUUCAAGUGAAGAAAUCUAUUAAAAUAUCUUAGGUAUGACUUAAUAGGAACAGGAAUGAAAAACCUCAUAUAUUAUAAUUUUAUACCAAAAUUAAAUUUUCUCUUUCUAUUUCCUUAUAUGACUGUUGUGUAAUAAUUCUAACGGUUUGUUAGCUUAUAUUUACGCAUUCCUUUCUAGAACAAUAUUUUCCGGUACUGUCUGGAGCAAUAUUUUCAUAUUUUAACGCAAGCGUAACCGUAAAGUUUCUUUGUUCUACAAAUAUAAAAAAAAAAAAAAAAUGGGGUGGAAUUUAUUGUUAUAUAGUCAUGAUAUAAAAUAGAAAGGUUGAAAAUUUAAAUUAACUGUUUGGACAACAUUCAUAAGUAAUGUUUUGUGUAAAGGGAAAGUAUCCUUAGAUGAGAGAUAAAGUAAUUAUAUUUUUUUUUUCAUAUUCACGAAAAACAAUUCGAUCAUUAUACGAUUAUCAAUUUUCGAUUUUAUUUAUUUACAAACUAGUGCCACAUCUCUAAAACCGCGCGCUUACGCAGCUCGCUUGAAGCGGCCAUUUUGUGCGGUUUGUGUUUCGAUGUGCCUAGUAAAUCAAAAAGUUUGCAAUAAUAAUUAUUGUAGUGCCUGCGUGAUGGUAUGUGUGAACAGGAUCCAUAGAAACUUUUGGGUAUUUACAAGUAAGUAAGGUAUUUUCAUUAUGUUUGGUUCCAACUGCUACAACAUAACAAAGCUACUUCGUGUUUUAAAUUAGGCUAAAAUGGGUGUUAUGCGUGAACUGCUUGAAUUCUAUAUUGCACAUACGUUAUAUGCAUUGGAUUAACAACAAAGCUAUAUUAUGUGAUACACAUAUAUUCUAGGUAUCGCAUGUUUUUUGUUUGGCAUCUUGGGUUUGGUUAUUGCUAUUGGGUUGGUACUUGCACCUAAGCACCUCAUUAAAUUUUGCUAUAUUCAUCAAAAAUCAUUUCUCUUUUUGCUUAUCCAGGAAAACUACCUAUUUGCACAUAACUAUUAUUUUCUGUAUUUAGGUAUAGACUAGUAAAUAUUAUGUUUCCUAAGUUAAAACCAACCAUAUACUAUAAACUAUACAGGUAUCUGCCUAAGGCGUUUUGGUGAACUGAUGGUGUAGAUACAAGUAGGGUUAAUAAAUAUUAAUUUCUGUG
Molecule: long non-coding RNA, 3759 nt
Organism: Manduca sexta (tobacco hornworm)
Lineage: Eukaryota; Metazoa; Arthropoda; Insecta; Lepidoptera; Sphingidae
Exons: 2
Source: RefSeq, a predicted model, not a curated record